UUUUUGCAAUAUGGCGCAUUGGUUAAGGUGAUUGAGUUACGGGCCGGAAUCCUCAAUUAACUGGUUGUUCGGGGCAAAAGGGGCUGGGAAAUUCGCCGAGGGAGGGGGGAAAAGGAGGGUCCGGCCCUCGGGGUUGGUUAGGAAAGGCUGGAAUAAUCUGCCCUGGGGGGGGGAUGCCUCCGAGGAGAAUUUUUAAUAUUCCCCCAUAACUCUGGUUGGCCGAACUGUUUUUAAGGCAAAAGUUCCGGCGCCAAAGGGGGGGCUUGUGCCCUAUCGGGUGCCCCUGCGUGUACUGAACUCCCAACCCCACCACGCCUUAGGGUCCGGAAAAGAGAUCCCCGCAAAUGCCUUUGAGACCUGAGUCCAGCCCCUGGGGGGUUGCAUCUUUUAAUAUCUAAAAGGGGAAAUCCGGGAAAAGUAAUCCCGGGGCCUAACCUUUUUUUUUGGCUGUUUAUUGAUCAAAAACCUGGAUUUAAGGGCGGGCACACCUGGGGCCUUUCCCGGGGUAAAUCAAAGGCAUCGGGGGGUUCUUUUUUUUGGGCCUACCCCGCCCUUCCCGGUUUGUAAACCUUGGGCAAACCCGCCCGCUUAAGUGUCCAAUCUUGGAGACCGGCCCAGACUGGGCCCGGGAAACCCCAAACCCAUUCCGGGGGGGGGCCACACCUGGAACCCGAGAAAGGACCCCCUGGGGAAGGGGUUUUCUUAAAACGGGCCCGAGGAAUGGGAAAAGCCCUGGUCCCCAAACGGGUUCUACCCCGGGGGGCAGGGGGCCACCCCCGGGUGUGUUUUUGGGGUCCCCCCGGGGCUUGGGGCCAAAAAAAAAUUUAAACCCCCCCUCGCGGAUUCCCCCCCGGGUUCUCCCUUCCGGGGGUUGGGGGGGGGCAACAAAAAGGGGGACCGGGGGGUUUAUUGUUUUCCCCCGGGGGAACUCCCGCGGGGCCCGGCCUUUUUCAUGGCCAUUUUUUGAAUUUCUCAAGUUUACCCCAAAGAGUGGGUUGGUGCCCUCCCUUCCCCCCCCCCUCGCGUUCUUGUAUAAUUUAUAAAAAAAAAGAAAGCCCCCCCCCCCUUUGUGUUCCUUUUGUAUCUCCUUUUUUAUAUUUUCCCCCCUUAUCUCUUUAAGUU
RNAcentral lists this ribosomal RNA (1122 nucleotides) under uncultured archaeon. RNAcentral's name for it is "partial 16S ribosomal RNA". The record is from RNAcentral.